RNAcentral lists this long non-coding RNA (924 nucleotides) under Homo sapiens (human). RNAcentral's name for it is "HSALNT0230991". The record is from RNAcentral. Lineage: Eukaryota; Metazoa; Chordata; Mammalia; Primates; Hominidae.
ACAAAACUGAAAUGCCCUAUUAUGGCAUCAAAGAAACAAAAGAGGAGAUGAUACAGGGUAAUAUAAACUGCAUACCAAUAUCAUGAGCCCUCACACCAGGUUUCUGUUUAGGAUGGAUAAUUUGCUUCAAUGAAACAAAUUAAUGGAGAAUUAUAAACAAUAGCUUUACAAUGAACUUUUAGCCAUUAGUAAUUUAGAGUUUGGGACAAUAUUUAUGUGCCCUUCUUGGAGACAUUAUACAAUACUGGCCCAGAUCAUGGACUCUGGAAUCAGAUGGGCCUGGGUGUGAAUCCUUUAUUCUGUGGUUUGACCUCUGUAAGCCUCAGUUUCCCAUUCUGAAAAAGGCAGAGAUUAGCACCUACUUCAUAGGGCUAUUUUGACAAUAGGCAAACUGUAUUUGGCAAUAAUUGACAAGUACUUACCACAGUUUAUGACACAUUGUGAAAACUAAAAAAAAAAAAAAAAAAAAAAAAUCGUAAGUUCUAUCGUUGUGAUUCAGUACUUUUGUCCAGAAUGAAGUGAUACAGCCAGUCAGCACCUUCCAAUAUGAGCCAGCCAUUCAGAAGCCAGGAUCAAUUUCCCCUAAACCCACACAAGUGGAUAAGGGUGCCCCAAAGGAUGCUGGGAAAUCCCCCAAACACUCCUGGAAUAAAAGUGUUUUCAAUUCAUAAUACGAAACAGCCAUAUUAUGUAACAUUGUGCUUGGAAGGAAGAAAAUAAUUGAAGGGAAUUUCAAAAACAAACAUCUAGAUCACAUCCCAAUUUCCAAAUAUUAGGAACCACUCCUACACAGACAGGAACAAGUUGAUGUCCCAGUAUUUAAGAGAGCCUAUGUUAAGCAAAGAAAAGGGGCAGAUUUCUAAUGUUGAAUGACAAGGCUAGUUUGAAGAGCAUAGCAAAAUGUAUGUUAAGAAAUAGAGAGGC